RNAcentral lists this ribosomal RNA (209 nucleotides) under uncultured bacterium. RNAcentral describes it as "partial 16S ribosomal RNA". It matches the Rfam family "Bacterial small subunit ribosomal RNA", at positions 568 to 773 of the family's 1533-position model. The record is from RNAcentral.
UGCGUAGGCGGCGCGGUAAGUCGGGUGUGAAAUCUCGGGGCUUAACUCCGAAACUGCAUUCGAUACUGCCGUGCUUGAGGACUGGAGAGGAGACUGGAAUUUACGGUGUAGCGGUGAAAUGCGUAGAUAUCGUAAGGAAGACCAGUGGCGAAGGCGGGUCUCUGGACAGUUCCUGACGCUGAGGCACGAAGGCCGAGGGGAGACGAAAC